RNAcentral lists this ribosomal RNA (463 nucleotides) under uncultured bacterium. Its description in RNAcentral is "bacterial SSU rRNA". It matches the Rfam family "Bacterial small subunit ribosomal RNA", at positions 45 to 507 of the family's 1533-position model. The record is from RNAcentral.
UGCUUAAUACAUGCAAGUCAACUUGACUUUAGAUAGCAAUAUCGAAAGUAGGGUGGCGCACGGGUGCGUAACGCGUAGGUAAUCUGCCCUGAGGUCUGACAUAACCCGUCGAAAGGCGGGCUAACAUCAGAUGAUAUACAAUCACGACAUCGUGGAAAUAUCAAAUCUUCGGAGCCUUGGGAUGAGCCUGCGUCUGAUUAGGUAGUUGGCGGAGUAAUAGCCCACCAAGCCUACGAUCAGUAGCUGGUCUGAGAGGAUGAUCAGCCACACUGGAACUGAGACACGGUCCAGACUCCUACGGGAGGCAGCAGUAAGGAAUAUUGCUCAAUGGGGGGAAACCCUGAAGCAGCAACGCCGCGUGAAGGAUGAAAUACUUUUGUAUGUAAACUUCUGUAAGAUGGGAAAAAUAUUCUCCUCGGGAGAAUUGAUUGUACCAUCAGAGUAAGCCCCGGCUAACUACGUG